GACGAACGCUGGCGGCGUGCUUAACACAUGCAAGUCGAACGGAAAGGCCCCUUUGGGGGUCCUCGAGUGGCGAACGGGUGAGUAACACGUGAGUAACCUGCCCUUGACUUCGGGAUAACUUCAGGAAACUGGGGCUAAUACCGGAUAGGAAUCCUUGCUGCAUGGUGGGGGUUGGAAAGCUUCGGCGGUUUUGGAUGGACUCGCGGCUUAUCAGCUUGUUGGUGGGGUAGUGGCUUACCAAGGCUUUGACGGGUAGCCGGCCUGAGAGGGCGACCGGCCACAUUGGGACUGAGAUACGGCCCAGACGCCUACGGGAGGCAGGAGGGGGGAAUAUUGCACAAUGGGCGGAAGCCUGAUGCAGAAACGCCGCGUGCGGGAUGACGGCCUUCGGGUUGUAAACCGCUUUCAGCAGGGGCGAAGCUUGUGGUGACGGUACCUGCAGAAGAAGCACCGGCUAACUACGUG
RNAcentral lists this ribosomal RNA (465 nucleotides) under uncultured bacterium. RNAcentral describes it as "partial 16S ribosomal RNA". It matches the Rfam family "Bacterial small subunit ribosomal RNA", at positions 28 to 507 of the family's 1533-position model. The record is from RNAcentral.